ACAAAGUUUAGUCCUAACUUUACUAUUAAUUCUAACUAGACUUACACAUGCAAGUCUCAGCCCUCCAGUGACAACACCCUACCUAAAGGAGCCGAUAUCAGGCACAACAUGUUAGCCCACUACAUCUAGCCCAGCCACACCCCCAAGGGCCCGCAGCAGCGAUUAACCUUAAUAAUAAGCGCAAGCUUGACUUAGUUAUAGUUAAAAGAGUUGGUAAAUCUUGUGCCAGCCACCGCGGUUAAACAAGAAACUCUAAUUAAUAGAUUCGGCACAAAGUGUGAUCAAGAAACUAAUCAACCUUUAUAGAGCUAAAAAUUUACCCAGCCGUAAUACGCCUUAGUAAUAUAACACACACAACAUCGAAAGUGGCUCUAACACCAACGAUCAUCCCCACAUCACGAUCGCUAAGACACAAACUGGGAUUAGAUACCCCACUAUGCCUAGCCACAAAACUUGAUCAAUCUACAUCUGCCAGAGUACUACGAGCACUAGCUUAAAACUCAAAGGACUUGGCGGUGCCCCAAACCCACCCAGAGGAGCCUGUUCUAUAAUCGAUACCCCACGUUUUACCUCACCACCCUUCGUAAUCAGCCUAUAUACCACCGUCGCCAGCCAACUUCCUGAAAACCCUAUAGUUAGCUAAACUGUAAAUCACAAACACGUCAGGUCAAGGUGUAGCACACAGGGUGGAAAGAAAUGGGCUACAUUUUCUCCAAUAAGAAUCCACGAAUAAUGCAAUGAAAAAUAAUUUGAAGGCGGAUUUGGCAGUAAGAGGUGACCAUUAUGCCCCUCUUAAUUUGGCUCUGAGGCGCGCACACACCGCCCGUCACCACCUCUCAUCAAUGACUAAACCACCAUAAAUAAUAAAUAAACAAACCCUAGAUGAGGAAAGUCGUAACAUGGUAAGCGCACUGGAAAGUGCUCUUGGAUUAAC
This 934-nucleotide non-coding RNA is filed under the name Caecilia tentaculata. RNAcentral describes it as "12S ribosomal RNA". It matches the Rfam family "Bacterial small subunit ribosomal RNA". Lineage: Eukaryota; Metazoa; Chordata; Amphibia; Gymnophiona; Caeciliidae. The record is from RNAcentral.